This 427-nucleotide ribosomal RNA is filed under the name uncultured bacterium. RNAcentral's name for it is "partial 16S ribosomal RNA". It matches the Rfam family "Bacterial small subunit ribosomal RNA", at positions 355 to 774 of the family's 1533-position model. The record is from RNAcentral.
UGGGGAAUAUUGGACAAUGGGCGAAAGCCUGAUCCAGCCAUGCCGCGUGUGUGAAGAAGGUCUUCGGAUUGUAAAGCACUUUAAGUUGGGAGGAAGGGCAGUAAAUUAAUACUUUGCUGUUUUGACGUUACCGACAGAAUAAGCACCGGCUAACUCUGUGCCAGCAGCCGCGGUAAUACAGAGGGUGCAAGCGUUAAUCGGAAUUACUGGGCGUAAAGCGCGCGUAGGUGGUUUGUUAAGUUGGAUGUGAAAGCCCCGGGCUCAACCUGGGAACUGCAUCCAAAACUGGCAAGCUAGAGUACGGUAGAGGGUGGUGGAAUUUCCUGUGUAGCGGUGAAAUGCGUAGAUAUAGGAAGGAACACCAGUGGCGAAGGCGACCGCCUGGACUGAUACUGACACUGAGGUGCGAAAGCGUGGGGAGCAAACA